UAUACGACCCGACUAGCAGCUUCCGGGAAACCAAAGUUUUUCUUUUCCGGGGGAAGUAUGGUUGCAAAGCUGAAACUUAAAGGAAUUGACGGAAGGGCACCACCAGGAGUGGAGCCUGCGGCUUAAUUUGACUCAACAAGGGAAAACUCACCCCGCCCGGACACCGUAAAGAUUGACAGACUGAGAGCUCUUUCUCAAUUCGGUGGGGGGGGGGGCAUGGCCGUUCUUAGUGGGGGGAGCGAUUUGUCUGGUUAAUUCCCAUAACGAACGAGACCCUGGCCUAUUAAAUAGCCGGUAUAUCCAGAAAAGUUUACCGUACUUCUUAGAGGGACAAACGGCGUCGACCCGCCUGAAAUAAAGCAAUAACAGGUCUGUGAU
This 378-nucleotide ribosomal RNA is filed under the name uncultured eukaryote. Its description in RNAcentral is "partial 18S ribosomal RNA". It matches the Rfam family "Eukaryotic small subunit ribosomal RNA", at positions 1068 to 1468 of the family's 1831-position model. The record is from RNAcentral.